This 465-nucleotide ribosomal RNA is filed under the name Vreelandella stevensii. Its description in RNAcentral is "partial 16S ribosomal RNA". It matches the Rfam family "Bacterial small subunit ribosomal RNA", at positions 338 to 795 of the family's 1533-position model. The record is from RNAcentral. Lineage: Bacteria; Pseudomonadati; Pseudomonadota; Gammaproteobacteria; Oceanospirillales; Halomonadaceae.
CCUACGGGUGGCUGCAGUGGGGAAUAUUGGACAAUGGGCGAAAGCCUGAUCCAGCCAUGCCGCGUGUGUGAAGAAGGCCUUCGGGUUGUAAAGCACUUUCAGUGGGGAAGAAAGCCUUGGGGCUAAUACCCUCGAGGAAGGACAUCACCCACAGAAGAAGCACCGGCUAACUCCGUGCCAGCAGCCGCGGUAAUACGGAGGGUGCGAGCGUUAAUCGGAAUUACUGGGCGUAAAGCGCGCGUAGGCGGUCUGAUAAGCCGGUUGUGAAAGCCCCGGGCUCAACCUGGGAACGGCAUCCGGAACUGGCAGGCAAGAGUGAAGGAGAGGAAGGUAGAAUUCCCGGUGUAGCGGUGAAAUGCGUAGAGAUCGGGAGGAAUACCAGUGGCGAAGGCGGCCUUCUGGACUGACACUGCCGCUGAGGUGCGAAAGCGUGGGUAGCAAACAGGAUUAGAUACCCCAGUAGUC